Spea bombifrons (plains spadefoot toad) is the source of this 253-nucleotide long non-coding RNA. RefSeq lists it as uncharacterized. The record is from RefSeq and is a predicted model, not a curated record. The transcript is spliced from 2 exons. NCBI's taxonomy places the organism in Eukaryota, Metazoa, Chordata, Amphibia, Anura, Pelobatidae.
UUUGGAGGUAUCGGAGCUACGAUAAGAGAUAUCUCAUUAAGGUUGUGUUCCGUGUUCUCUAGUCUACCAAGGCAUCACCACGUUGAUGAACUUUAUAUUGUUGAUUGUAUUGGGGUAUGACUGCGGAGGCAGCAAUUUACAAUACUGUUGAUCCAGGGAAUACUGAGACUUUGGGGUCAGUAAGGGGUUUAAUAUCAUUUAAUAGUUACAUAGUAACACUUACUGGUAUCCAUAUCCUGAAAAAUACCAAAAA